UCCUGACACAUGACAGCAAGAUGUCUGUUGGUGGGGGCCACACUAAUGGAAGUCUGAUUCACACACACAAAGAAAGCUGAAGAAACAAACAAUAUAAGAGAGCUAUGAAGAGGGCCGCUGUAGGGUAAAGGAGGCGGAGGUUACUUCAGGCCUCCAGUCUGAGGCGGAGGCAUCUGGAU
Long non-coding RNA from Alosa alosa (allis shad), 179 nucleotides. RefSeq lists it as uncharacterized. Lineage: Eukaryota; Metazoa; Chordata; Actinopteri; Clupeiformes; Clupeidae. The transcript has 3 exons. The record is from RefSeq and is a predicted model, not a curated record.